UCGCUAAAACAGCAGACAACACCAGGACC
RNAcentral lists this non-coding RNA (29 nucleotides) under Homo sapiens (human). Lineage: Eukaryota; Metazoa; Chordata; Mammalia; Primates; Hominidae. The record is from RNAcentral.